GAUGAACGCUGGCGGCGUGCCUAAUACAUGCAAGUCGAGCGAACAGAUGAGAAGCUUGCUUCUCUGAUGUUAGCGGCGGACGGGUGAGUAACACGUGGGUAACCUACCUAUAAGACUGGGAUAACUCCGGGAAACCGGGGCUAAUACCGGAUAAUAUUUUGAACCGCAGGGUUCAAUAGUGAAAGACGGUUUCGGCUGUCACUUAUAGAUGGACCCGCGCCGUAUUAGCUAGUUGGUAAGGUAACGGCUUACCAAGGCGACGAUACGUAGCCGACCUGAGAGGGUGAGCGGCCACACUGGAACUGAGACACGGUCCAGACUCCUACGGGAGGCAGCAGUAGGGAAUCUUCCGCAAUGGGCGAAAGCCUGACGGAGCAACGCCACGUGAGUGAUGAAGGUCUUCGGAUCGUAAAACUCUGUUGUUAGGGAAGAACAAAUUUGUUAGUAACUGAACAAGUCUUGACGGUACCUAACCAGAAAGCCACGGCUAACUACGUGCCAGCCGCCGCAGUAA
RNAcentral lists this ribosomal RNA (514 nucleotides) under uncultured bacterium. Its description in RNAcentral is "partial 16S ribosomal RNA". It matches the Rfam family "Bacterial small subunit ribosomal RNA", at positions 28 to 523 of the family's 1533-position model. The record is from RNAcentral.